RNAcentral lists this ribosomal RNA (658 nucleotides) under Thalassiosira antarctica. Its description in RNAcentral is "partial Bacterial large subunit ribosomal RNA". It matches the Rfam family "Bacterial large subunit ribosomal RNA", at positions 1 to 732 of the family's 2925-position model. The record is from RNAcentral. Lineage: Eukaryota; Bacillariophyta; Thalassiosirophyceae; Thalassiosirales; Thalassiosiraceae.
GUUAAGUAAGGGCGUAUGGCGGAUGCCUAGGCUCUCAGAGGCGAUGAAGGACGUGAUAAGCUGCGAAAAGCUGCGGGGAUCGGCACACACGAUAUGAUCCGCAGGUAUCCGAAUGGGGCAACCCACUAUACUGAAGGUAUAGUAUCCGCAAGGAGGCAAACCCGGGGAACUGAAACAUCUAAGUACCCGGAGGAAAAGAAAUCAAACGAGAUUCCCCAAGUAGCGGCGAGCGAAAGGGGAGCAGCCCUUAAGCUGCUUUGUAGGUAGGAGAAGGCUCUGGAAAGUGCCGCCAUAGUGGGUGAUAGCCCCGUAUCUAAAACCUUAUAAGCAGUGAAAUCGAGUAGGUCGGAGCACGAGAAACUUUGACUGAAUAUGGGGGGACCAUCCUCCAAGGCUAAAUACUCCUAGUUGACCGAUAGUGAACCAGUACCGUGAGGGAAAGGCGAAAAGAACCCCUGAGAGGGGAGUGAAAUAGAUCCUGAAACCGUAUGCGUACAAGCAGUCGGAGCGGACUUGUUCCGUGACGGCGUACCUUUUGUAUAAUGGGUCAACGACUUAGUGCAGCAAGCAAGCUUAAGCCGAUAGGUGUAGGCGCAGCGAAAGCGAGUCUUAAUAGGGCGUUGAGUUUGUGGGAUCAGACCCGAAACCGAGUGAUCUA